Molecule: unclassified non-coding RNA, 301 nt
Filed under: uncultured Polyporales
Lineage: Eukaryota; Fungi; Basidiomycota; Agaricomycetes; Polyporales
Description: sequence contains 5.8S rRNA gene, ITS2, 28S rRNA gene
Rfam family: 5.8S ribosomal RNA (bases 1-52)
Source: RNAcentral
AACGCACCUUGCGCUCCUUGGUAUUCCGAGGAGCAUGCCUGUUUGAGUGUCAUGGAAUUCUCAACCCACACGUCCUUGUGACGUGGACGGGCUUGGACUUUGGAGGUUUCUGCCGGCCCCCCAUUCGGGUCGGCUCCUCUGGAAUGCAUUAGCUCCAUCCCUUGCGGAUCGGCUCUCGGUGUGAUAAUUGUCUACGCCGCGGUCGUUGAAGCCUCGGUCGGGAGAGCUUAUAAUCGUCCCUUCGGGACAAUCGAAUAUGACAUCUGACCUCAAAUCAGGUAGGACUACCCGCUGAACUUAA